RNAcentral lists this long non-coding RNA (863 nucleotides) under Glycine max (soybean). Its description in RNAcentral is "long non-coding RNA (GMAX_LNC002746)". Lineage: Eukaryota; Viridiplantae; Streptophyta; Magnoliopsida; Fabales; Fabaceae. The record is from RNAcentral.
GGAAGUACUGUUAUUCAAAACAUUUCACUUUUUCUCCACAGUCCAACUACUCAACUCCACACAAACAGUACCUAGAUUAAAUUAAAUACAUAAUAAUCUUUUUUUUUUUUCUAAACAAAAGGAAAAGCUACUUGAUGACAUGGUAAUUAAUCUAUUACUAAGGUUCAAGGAGAGCCCAUAAAUAGUUAUUAUUUAUUACACAAAGUGCACAAUAGGAGACCAAUGCACCAUGGUGCAUAUGGCCAUAUCCUUACCAUCACUAAACUUCCACUUGCACAUGAUAACCUGAAAAUGUAUCUACCAAGAAUCUAGGAUCACUCAGCAUUACCCUUGUUGUGGACGUGGUUCAUCUAAUCACCCCGCAACAUACACAAAAAUGGUGCAUACAUCAAUAAUACAGAAAAAAAGAAAGGAACAUUUGGGAUGAAUUUUGGAUCCUAAUCCUAAAGGAAUAGGUGACAGACCCUACAAAUUUUCAAUCUUCUUUGUCCUGUUUCUGCAUUUUCACAUCUUCAUGUGAGAGUAGAAGAUUAGUGAUGGUGAGGAUCUGGACCACCAGGACUUAGUCGGUUGGGCUUAUAACCUGUUCCCAACAACUGUUUCCUUCUUAGGAUUUCCUUCAACACUAUUUUGGCACUAAACACUAUUUUGGAACUCUCCAAAAUUUCAUGGUUUUCAUUAGUGCUUGAGAGUGAAGAAGGAAGAGGUCUUGCAUCAUGGCAGAUCAAAAUUGAUGUGAAGAGAAGGACAAAGCAUAAAAUUCUCCAACUUGCCAUAGGAAACGAUUUUAAGAUAUCAAAACAAGCCAAAGUGGUGCUGAGAUUCUACGCAGUGAUAGUUGGAGUAUGUAUAGAGGCACAUAG